Molecule: unclassified non-coding RNA, 252 nt
Filed under: Hevea brasiliensis (rubber tree)
Lineage: Eukaryota; Viridiplantae; Streptophyta; Magnoliopsida; Malpighiales; Euphorbiaceae
Source: RNAcentral
GCACAUUGAGACUCUUGAGGAGAUAGAUAUGGAGUAUAAGCACUUGGCACUUGAAUCCGGGAUUGAAAACUGGGGGCGUGUGCCUGCUCUCAACUGCAAGUCUUCGUUCAUUUUGGAUUUGGCUGAUGCAGUAAUUGAAGCCCUACCAUCUGCCUCGGCGUUGUCGCCCCACACAACCUCAACAGAUGCAGACGAUCACGAUCCUUUCCAAUAUGCUAUCAAAUUGUUAUUUGGUUCAGUCCUUGCAUUCAU